Molecule: ribosomal RNA, 438 nt
Filed under: uncultured bacterium
Lineage: Bacteria
Description: bacterial SSU rRNA
Rfam family: Bacterial small subunit ribosomal RNA
Source: RNAcentral
GCAUAACGCGAAGAACCUUACCUGGGCUUGACAUACACCAGACGCCGGCAGAGAUGUCGGUUCCCUUGUGGUUGGUGUACAGGUGGUGCAUGGCUGUCGUCAGCUCGUGUCGUGAGAUGUUGGGUUAAGUCCCGCAACGAGCGCAACCCUCGUUCCAUGUUGCCAGCACGUGAUGGUGGGGACUCAUGGGAGACUGCCGGGGUCAACUCGGAGGAAGGUGGGGAUGACGUCAAGUCAUCAUGCCCCUUAUGUCCAGGGCUUCACACAUGCUACAAUGGCCGGUACAAAGGGCUGCGAAAUCGUGAGGUGGAGCGAAUCCCAGAAAGCCGGUCUCAGUUCGGAUCGGGGUCUGCAACUCGACCCCGUGAAGUCGGAGUCGCUAGUAAUCGCAGAUCAGCAACGCUGCGGUGAAUACGUUCCCGGGUCUUGUACACACCG